Molecule: small RNA, 756 nt
Filed under: Pan troglodytes (chimpanzee)
Lineage: Eukaryota; Metazoa; Chordata; Mammalia; Primates; Hominidae
Description: processed transcript
Source: RNAcentral
CACACACAGGCACCUUCCCACUAGGGAAGAGAGCUGCCCCCUGGAGAGGCUGGCCUAGGCCUGGGGCGCUAACCUGCCUGCUGCGAUACACAGCAAACGCACGGGCUGCGCCUGCCGCCCUGGGCCUCACCCCAAACCAUGCAGCGUCUCAGCCGGCUAAAGGACUUCAGCUUCCGCUUCCUCUUCGGAAUCUACCAGCAGGCGGAGAAGGCCCGGCUUCAGGGGGGAGUCCUGCUGGCUCAGAUAAGGAAGAACCUGACCCUAAUGGCGACCACCUCCCAGCUCCCCAAGCUGCUGGUUUACUCUGCGCACGACACUACCCUGGUUGCCCUGCAAAUGGCACUGGAUGUCUACAAUGGUGAACAAGCCCCCUACGCCUCCUGCCACAUAUUUGAACUGUACCAGGAAGAUUCUGGGAAUUUCUCAGUGGAGAUGUACUUUCGGAACGAGAGUGACAAGGCCCCCUGGCCGCUCAGCCUGCCUGGCUGCCCUCACUGCUGCCCACUGCAGGACUUCCUUCGCCUCACAGAGCCCGUCGUGCCCAAGGAUUGGCAGCAGGAGUGCCAGCUAGCAAGCGGUCCUGCAGACACAGAGGUGAUCGUGGCCUUGGCUGUAUGUGGCUCCAUCCUCUUCCUCCUCAUAGUGCUGCUCCUCACCGUCCUCUUCCGGAUGCAGGCCCAGCCUCCUGGCUACCGCCACGUCGCAGAUGGGGAGGACCACGCCUGACAACCACUCAGCCCCCUUCCCUCCACCUCC